UGGGAUUGACCUUUCUCCCCUAACAGAUUGGAAACUCGUAAUUUCCCGCUUUUUGGUGAAACUCGUUGACAGACACCAUCUGCUCGCUACUACCAGGCUGUUGAAAGCAGAUGGUGGCUGAGGUUUCUCCAAAGCUGGCUGCCUCCCCUAUGAAGAAGCCCUUUGGCUUCAGGGGCAAGAUGGGCAAGUGGUGCUGCUGCUGCUUCCCCUGCUGCAGGGGAAGCGGCAAGAACAACAUGGGUGCUUGGAGAGACCACGACGACAGCGCCUUCACGGAGCCAAGGUAUCACGUCCGUCGAGAAGAUCUGGGCAAGCUCCACAGAGCUGCCUGGUGGGGUGAAGUCCCCAGAGCGGAUCUCAUCGUCAUGCUCAGGGGCCCUGGCAUUAACAAAAGGGACAAGAAGAAGAGGACUGCUCUACACUUGGCCUGUGCCAAUGGCAAUUCAGAAGUAGUAAGUCUUCUGCUGGACAGACAAUGUCAACUUCAUGUCUUUGACAGCAAAAAGAGGACAGCUCUGAUAAAGGCCGUACAAUGCCAGGAGGAUGAAUGUGCGUUAAUGUUGCUACAACAUGGCACUGAUCCAAAUCUUCCAGAUAUGUAUGGGAAUACUGCUCUACACUAUGCAGUCUACAAUGAAGAUAAAUUAAUGGCCA
Molecule: long non-coding RNA, 654 nt
Filed under: Homo sapiens (human)
Lineage: Eukaryota; Metazoa; Chordata; Mammalia; Primates; Hominidae
Description: non-protein coding lnc-HGSNAT-3:1
Source: RNAcentral